AGAGUUUGAUCAUGGCUCAGGAUGAACGCUGGCGGCGUGCCUAACACAUGCAAGUCGAACGAAGCGUAUGGAACUUUUCUUACGGGAGAAGGGAAGUGUGACUGAGUGGCGGACGGGUGAGUAACGCGUGGGCAACCUACCUCUAUCAGGGGGAUAACAGUUAGAAAUGACCGCUAAUACCGCGUAAGACCACGGUGCCGCAUGGCACAGGGGCCAAAGCCGAGGCGGAUAGAGAUGGACCCGCGUCUGAUUAGCUAGUUGGCAGGGUAAGGGCCUACCAAGGCGACGAUCAGUAGCCGACCUGAGAGGGUGACCGGCCACAUUGGGACUGAGACACGGCCCAAACUCCUACGGGAGGCAGCAGUGGGGAAUAUUGCGCAAUGGGGGAAACCCUGACGCAGCGACGCCGCGUGAGUGAGGAAGUAUUUCGGUAUGUAAAGCUCUAUCAGCAGGGAAGAAAAUGACGGUACCUGAGAAAGAAGCCCCGGCUAACUACGUGCCAGCAGCCGCGGUAAUACGUAGGGGGCAAGCGUUAUCCGGAUUUACUGGGUGUAAAGGGAGCGUAGGCGGCAUGGCAAGCCAGAAGUGAAAGCCCGGGGCUCAACCGCGGGACCGCUUUUGGAACUGCCAGGCUAGAUUGCGGGAGAGGUAAGUGGAAUUCCUAGUGUAGCGGUGAAAUGCGUAGAUAUUAGGAGGAACACCAGUGGCGAAGGCGGCUUACUGGACCGUAAAUGACGCUGAGGCUCGAAAGCGUGGGGAGCAAACAGGAUUAGAUACCCUGGUAGUCCACGCCGUAAACG
Molecule: ribosomal RNA, 800 nt
Filed under: uncultured bacterium
Lineage: Bacteria
Description: bacterial SSU rRNA
Rfam family: Bacterial small subunit ribosomal RNA
Source: RNAcentral